GAACUCUUAGAGAAAGAAUUUCUCUCGAGGUUUUUUCCAAGUCUUUCUCUUGGACUCGCUGAGUGGUUGCUUUGGUGCCCUCCUCUGUUCUUUGAGACAGGGGAAGGAAAGUGUUUUCACCAGCUGGGUUGGGUCCCCUCCUCACCUUGGUUUGUUUGUGUAGAGUUUUGUUUUUAAAGGGUUCUCAGACGAUAAUCUGCAAAGAGGAAGCUGGCUUUCAUGGGUUUGGGUUGCUGUGCUUCUUGGGUUUGUUGGUUUCGACUUCAUGGGUAUGGCUAGUUCUACAUGCGCCUAUGAAGCAUUUUAGUGUUUAGUGGUAUGGCUAGUUCUACAUGUGCCUAUGAAGCAUUUUAAUGUUUAGUGUUUAGGUCAAGAUGGGUGCUCUAUGUAGAAAGAAGGCUUUUACUUGCUUAGGUUGUUCGGUAUCUUCACGAUCUGCUGCUCCUACAUUAUGGCUGGGGAGGUCCUCACGUUGGCCUUUGAAGGUCAAUGAACUUUACGACAGCAAUUGUCCUUCAACUUAUAGAGUUGUGCAGCGUGAUUGGUUGAAAAAUAGAGUUCUGAGCUUGGUUGUUAAUCUGAGAUGAGCAGUUUGGUGCUCCUUGGGAUGCUGGCAAGGAUAGCUGGGUUCAAUCUCAGUUCAGCUUCUCUAGCUAUGACGAGAAUCGGUGGUAGUCGACAGCAUUUACAAUGGUAUCUUCUGCUAUGUUUUCCCAGGGUAUCGAGGCUGGAUAGGAUUGUUGUGGUGGGUUGAUAUAAUUUGAUUAAGGGUGAAUUGAUUUGAUUUGUUUGAAUUCGAUUGGGUCUUUAAAAGUUGAGUAGGUGACCAUAGUAUCUUGUCUAAUUUAUACUUCUUGCUUUUUAAUGAGCUUCUAAUGUAAGAUAUCAUGUUAAAAAAAAAAUCCCAAAAAGCAUUAAGC
RNAcentral lists this unclassified non-coding RNA (920 nucleotides) under Hevea brasiliensis (rubber tree). Lineage: Eukaryota; Viridiplantae; Streptophyta; Magnoliopsida; Malpighiales; Euphorbiaceae. The record is from RNAcentral.